This 279-nucleotide ribosomal RNA is filed under the name uncultured bacterium. RNAcentral describes it as "partial 16S ribosomal RNA". It matches the Rfam family "Bacterial small subunit ribosomal RNA", at positions 506 to 784 of the family's 1533-position model. The record is from RNAcentral.
UGCCAGCCGCCGCGGUAAGACGGAGGGCUCAAACGUUGUUCGGAAUCACUGGGCAUAAAGCGCACGUAGGCGGCUUGUUAAGUCGGAUGUGAAAUCCCUCGGCUCAACCGGGGAACUGCAUUCGAUACUGGCAGGCUCGAGGACGGAAGGGGUAAGCGGAACUCCAGGUGGAACGGUGAAAUGUGUAGAUAUCUGGAGGAACACCGGUGGCGAAAGCGGCUUACUGGUCCGUAUCAGACGCUGAGGUGUGAAAGCUAGGGUAGCAAACGGGAUUAGAUA